AAACUAAUUUACUUUGGCGGCAUUUCAUCUAAUUAGAGGAAUUUGUCAUUUAAUCGAUAAUCCACGAUAAAUUUCACUUUAAUCCUAUAUUUAUAUACCGCCAUCUUAAGAAUCAAUUUAAAAAUAUUAUUCCCAACAAGAUAUAAUACGUUAGGUCAAGGUGUAGUUUAUAUUGAAGCAUAGAUGAAUUACAUUAAAUAAAAUUUAAGGCUUACAUAUCAAAAUUUAUAUAAAAAAGGAUUUAAUAGUAAUAUUAAAAUAAUAAUUUAUUAUGAUCAAGAUAACAAAUGUGCACACAUCGCCC
Molecule: ribosomal RNA, 304 nt
Filed under: Tegenaria domestica
Lineage: Eukaryota; Metazoa; Arthropoda; Arachnida; Araneae; Agelenidae
Description: partial 12S ribosomal RNA
Source: RNAcentral